Molecule: long non-coding RNA, 607 nt
Filed under: Lathyrus oleraceus (garden pea)
Lineage: Eukaryota; Viridiplantae; Streptophyta; Magnoliopsida; Fabales; Fabaceae
Description: Pisum sativum (pea) long non-coding RNA (PSAT_LNC010304)
Source: RNAcentral
CAUGAUGGUAGUCUCGUGAAAAGGGUGGUGGUCGAGCGGAAGUGAAGGUUUAUACGGCGGAACAUGGAGUAGGUCGGAGGGAGAAAAGUGUUUGGGUUGAGAAGUGUUCGGUGAUGGUAGAUCCGGUGAAGAAUGGUGGCGGAGGUAGAGGUAUUGUGUGGGGUUUCGCAGCGAUGAAGAAGAAGAAACGAACAGUGGUUCGAAAUGGAAGGUGGGAGGUGCGUCGUCGAAAAAUGAGGUUUGUGAGGAGUUUGGAAGGGUUGUUGAGGGUGGUGCGGUUAUGGCGGUGAGGAUGAAAGAAUUUCCGACGGCGAGUUUGGAAUGAAGAAGAUGGUUGUGUGGCUAUGUUCUCGCGGCGUUGGAGAGGUAGCGAAGGGGAGCGGCGGUGUGUGUGAGGGAUCGAAGAAGAGGAACAGUGAUUCCUCCUUUUCUUUUUCUUUCUGUUUUCUUUUUAGUAGAGAGAGGAGAGGGGGACAUGAGGUGAGGUGAAGAGAGAUGUUCCUCCUUUUCUUUUCUGUUUUCUGCUUCUUUUAUUUUGUACCGUUGGAGAGGAGUGUGGAGUGAGAGGACCACUUGCCAGCUAUGUUUGCCAGCUAUGUAUCAGUAA